This 203-nucleotide unclassified non-coding RNA is filed under the name uncultured fungus. RNAcentral describes it as "sequence contains ITS1". The record is from RNAcentral. Lineage: Eukaryota; Fungi.
UUUAUGCUUAUAGUUUUUUUUUGUUUUUCAGACUGAUGGUUUAAAGAGUUUAUAAAUGGGUCUCUGACGGGUGCACACCAGCCGAAGCCGGUGGGGCAAGAAGCCACGACCCGCCAAAGCAACAGGUAUUAAAACAUGGGGUUGGAGGUUGGGCCAAAGACCCGUACUCGAUAAUGAUCCUUCCGCAGGUUCACCUACGGAAA